Long non-coding RNA from Oncorhynchus nerka (sockeye salmon), 831 nucleotides. RefSeq lists it as uncharacterized. The transcript is spliced from 2 exons. Lineage: Eukaryota; Metazoa; Chordata; Actinopteri; Salmoniformes; Salmonidae. The record is from RefSeq and is a predicted model, not a curated record.
UCCACUCAUUACAGGUAUUAACUGCACCUGUUUGAACUCGUUACCUGUAUAAAAGACACCUGUCCACACACUCAAUCAACAGACUCCAACCUCUCCACAAUGGCCAAGACCAGAGAGCUGUGUAAGGACAUCAGGGAUAAAAUUGUAGACCUGCACAAAGCUGGGCUACAGGACAACAGGCAAGCAGCUUGGUGAGAAGGCAACAACUGUUGGUGCAAUUAUUAGAAAAUGGAAGAAGUUCAAGAUGACGGUCAAUCACCCUCGGUCUGGGGCUCCAUGCAAGAUCUCUCCUCGUGGGGCAUCAAUGAUCAUCAGGAAGAUUUCCCCAAGAUCUCAGACUCCGGAAUGGGAAAAUGCUUACAAGAAAGAAACAUAUGAAGACAGUUGUUGUUACUUGCAAAGUUAAAAAGGGGAGAAAAAGACAAUCCUUUUGUCACACCCUGAUCUGUUUCACCUGUCUUUGUGCUUGUCUCCACCCCCCUCCAGGUGUCAGCCAUCUUCCCCAUUAUCCCUAGUGUAUUUAUACCGAUGUUCUCCGUCUGUCUGUUACCAGUUCAUUUUCUUUGUCAAGCCUACCAGCGGUUUUUCCCUUGCUCCUGUCUUUUUUUACUUCCUGUUUUCCUGUUGACCAUUUCUGCCUGCCCUGAACUUGAGCCUGUCGUUUUGUACCUUGUCACACCACCCUGGAUUAUUGACUUCCGCCUGUCCUGACCGCGAGAUUGCCUGCCUUCUAUACCCUAUGGACUCUGAUCUGGAUAACUGACCUCUGCCUGUCCUUGACCUAUCGUUUCGCCUGCCCCCUGUUCUAGUAAUAAACUUGUAUUACUUCGA